RNAcentral lists this ribosomal RNA (715 nucleotides) under Torresitrachia sp. 'clade cut'. Its description in RNAcentral is "partial 16S ribosomal RNA". It matches the Rfam family "Bacterial large subunit ribosomal RNA", at positions 714 to 2558 of the family's 2925-position model. The record is from RNAcentral. Lineage: Eukaryota; Metazoa; Mollusca; Gastropoda; Stylommatophora; Camaenidae.
CACGAAUUCGUGUGAGCUAACUCAUUUAAGCGACUAUGUAGCAUAAUACUUCUCAAACUUGAGUUAGGGGUGAAAGGCUUCUCAAAAACGACGAUAUCUUGACGUAAACGAAAUAGAUUGAGUCUUAAGUUGAUUACAAAGUUAUAAGAUUUUGUAAAAGGUUCAAUAUUUAUGUUGUGCGGAUGUGGGCAUAAAAACCUACAUGAUGUAAUACUAAUAUAGAGAUAGUAGAGCUUAUUUAAGUAGUUUACGGUAACGUAACUAAAGGAUAAUCAUUAUGUUAAUAUAAGUACUUAGAAGAUAUUAAUAGUGAACUCGGCAAUAAAGCUUUCAACUGUUUAUCAAAAACAUAGCCAUAUGUCUCACCUAUGGUGUAUUCUGCUCAAUGAUGUUUAAAUAGCCGCAGUACCCUGACUGUGCAAAGGUAGCAAAAUCAUUUGUCUUUUAAUUGGAGUCGCGUAUGAACGAAUGCAUGGGGGCUUACUUUACCAUUAGUAUGACACGAAAUUGCUUAAGAGGUGAAAAAACCUUUAUUUAAAUAAUAGACGAGAAGACCCUUGAAAUUUGUAAAAUAGUUUUGUUGGGGCAACAUUGUAGCUAAACCUAUAAAAUAUACGCGAAAUUUUUCUUGCUUGAUUAAAUUACUCUAGGGAUAACAGCAUAAUUUUUGAAAGUUUGUGACCUCGAUGUUGGAUUAGGGAACUAUAACCUAAAA